Molecule: ribosomal RNA, 237 nt
Filed under: uncultured bacterium
Lineage: Bacteria
Description: partial 16S ribosomal RNA
Rfam family: Bacterial small subunit ribosomal RNA
Source: RNAcentral
UCCACGCCGUAAACGAUGUCAACUAGACGUUGGGAGGGUUUAACCUCUUAGUGUCGGAGCUAACGCAUUAAGUUGACCGCCUGGGGAGUACGGCCGCAAGGUUAAAACUCAAAGGAAUUGACGGGGGCCCGCACAAGCGGUGGAGCAUGUGGUUUAAUUCGAUGCAACGCGAAGAACCUUACCUGCCCUUGACAUCCUCGGAAUCUUACAGAGAUGUGAGAGUGCCUUCGGGAACCG